GGCCCAGACUCCUACGGGAGGCAGCAGUGGGGAAUAUUGCACAAUGGGGGAAACCCUGAUGCAGCGACGCCGCGUGAGUGAAGAAGUAUUUCGGUAUGUAAAGCUCUAUCAGCAGGGAAGAAAAUGACGGUACCUGACUAAGAAGCCCCGGCUAACUACGUGCCAGCAGCCGCGGUAAUACGUAGGGGGCAAGCGUUAUCCGGAUUUACUGGGUGUAAAGGGAGCGUAGACGGCGAUGCAAGCCAGAUGUGAAAGCCUGGGGCUCAACCCCGGGACUGCAUUUGGAACUGUGUGGCUGGAGUGUCGGAGAGGCAGGCGGAAUUCCUAGUGUAGCGGUGAAAUGCGUAGAUAUUAGGAGGAACACCAGUGGCGAAGGCGGCCUGCUGGACGAUGACUGACGUUGAGGCUCGAAAGCGUGGGGAGCAAACAGGAUUAGAUACCCGAGUAC
RNAcentral lists this ribosomal RNA (448 nucleotides) under uncultured bacterium. Its description in RNAcentral is "bacterial SSU rRNA". It matches the Rfam family "Bacterial small subunit ribosomal RNA", at positions 328 to 793 of the family's 1533-position model. The record is from RNAcentral.